GUUCCUUUCGAUUGUAACAAAAAGAAACUGUGAUUAAAUUAGGUUUAUUUCUGGACGUACUAGGUUUUCAUCCUGCCCUGCGCAAGCUUAUGUACAUUGAACACUUCGGAAGGUGCCUAAUCCUGGUUGAAAGGAUCGGUAAUCACGGAAGAGGUUGCCAGCUGAUGAUGACUGAAAGUGCACUGGAUUACCCUAUUCCGACGUUCUGUAUGCUCCUCUACCGCCACCACUGCCCCGGGCCCAAGGUUGUGCUCUACCAUCCCUAUUGCAAAUAUCAAGACGCUCUCAUUGACCGAAAGGCAAUUGAUGAAGGCUAUAUUAAGCAUUGAAAA
This is a long non-coding RNA of Rhipicephalus sanguineus (brown dog tick), 332 nucleotides long. RefSeq lists it as uncharacterized. The transcript has 2 exons. The record is from RefSeq and is a predicted model, not a curated record. NCBI's taxonomy places the organism in Eukaryota, Metazoa, Arthropoda, Arachnida, Ixodida, Ixodidae.